CCUGGCCACCGAACUUGGGCUAAUUCUUCUCUUGAUGGACUGCAAACUUGGACGGCCCAACUCCCUCUUGACCCAAACGUUCGAUCUGCUCCAUAUAGAAGGAGGAGUCGUUGAAGAGAUUGCUGAGGGCCCGAUGUGUUUUUUUAAAAGACUCACAUGAAAGACUGGAUGUAGACGUGAUGAUUCAGGGCCAAAGAAGUCUGUCUAUAUGGUUGCAACUUCAGGUCCUGGCCACCGAACUUGGGCUAAUUCUUCUCUUGAUGGAUGCAAACUUGGACGGCCCAACUCCCUCUUGACCCAAG
Molecule: long non-coding RNA, 302 nt
Organism: Hibiscus syriacus
Lineage: Eukaryota; Viridiplantae; Streptophyta; Magnoliopsida; Malvales; Malvaceae
Exons: 4
Source: RefSeq, a predicted model, not a curated record